This 72-nucleotide transfer RNA is filed under the name Shigella phage SSP1. Its description in RNAcentral is "tRNA-Gly". It matches the Rfam family "tRNA". From Rfam's summary of the family: Transfer RNA (tRNA) molecules are approximately 80 nucleotides in length. Their secondary structure includes four short double-helical elements and three loops (D, anti-codon, and T loops). Lineage: Duplodnaviria; Heunggongvirae; Uroviricota; Caudoviricetes; Demerecviridae. The record is from RNAcentral.
GCGGUUAGCCUCAUGGUGGGGACUUAGUCUUCCAAACUAAUGGAGAGGGUUCGAUUCCCUCUAGCCGCUCCA